CCUACGGGUGGCAGCAGUAGGGAAUCUUCCUCAAUGGGCGAAAGCCUGACGGAGCAACGCCGCGUGAGUGAUGAAGGUCCUCUGAUCGUAAAACCCUGUUUUUAGAGAAGAACAUGCGUGAGAUUAACUUUUCCCGUUUUGACGGUAUCUAACCAGACAGCCCCGUCUAACUACGUGCCAGCAGCCGCGGGAAUACGUCGGUGGCAAUCGUUAUCCGGAAUUAUUGGGCGUAAAGGGAGCGCAGGCGGUAUUUUAAGUCUUAUGGGAAAGCCUUCGGCUUAACCGGAGUAGGGCAGUGGAAACUGGGAGACUUGAGUGCAGAAGAGGAAAGUGGAACUCCAGGUGUAGCGGUGAAAUGUGUAGAUAUAUGGAAGAACACCAGUGGCGAAGGCGGCUUUCUGGGCUGUAACUGACGCUGAGGUUCGAAAGCGUGGGUAGCAAACAGGAUUAGAUACCCGAGUAGUC
RNAcentral lists this ribosomal RNA (465 nucleotides) under uncultured bacterium. RNAcentral describes it as "partial 16S ribosomal RNA". It matches the Rfam family "Bacterial small subunit ribosomal RNA", at positions 338 to 795 of the family's 1533-position model. The record is from RNAcentral.